AAAGGACUAAACCAUCUGCUCAUGAUCUCUUAUUGAUUUAAUGCGGUGAUGUUCUUAUUUAGACAACAUCAGAAUGGUUAUAUAGAUGGACAGCUUAUUAUCAGCUUUAAGUGAAGAAACAGAACACAAGAAUGGCUGCUGAGAAAAAGGAAAGGAUGCAAGGGAGGACACUGCACCUCUGCGUGCUUCUCUCCAGCCUCCACUGGUGCUGUGUUUGUCCUGACGUAGCCUGGCACAGUGAGGUGCUGCGCUGGCUUGACGUGAGUUGCUCUUGUGGGGUGAUCUGGUAGAGAUAUGGGUAAGGGCUGCAUAACUUUUGCACUCAUAUCUUGAGGCACAGUAAUUAAAUGACUUUUGUGAAUGGAUGCCAGCAAGAACUGUGUGUACAGAGGGAGCAGGUGGCAGAGGAUAAAGGGUCUUCUGUGGAUCAGGAGACCUGCGUUUGAACCUUGAGGCCUUCACAGGGCAAGCACAGCCCACCUCACUGUAAAGGGGCAGGAGCUGUCAGAGGGGGGGAUGCUGGCUGCUCAGUGCAAG
This 537-nucleotide long non-coding RNA is filed under the name Struthio camelus australis. Its description in RNAcentral is "lncRNA (ENSSCUG00000010806.1)". The record is from RNAcentral. Lineage: Eukaryota; Metazoa; Chordata; Aves; Struthioniformes; Struthionidae.